CCCCGCCGAGGGGGACCCGUCCCGGGGCUGGUCCGGUAGCCCCCACGCCCCCAGCAGCUGCCUCGGUUUCCACAAGCGCCGCCCCGCGCUCCGGGUAUCGCUCCGGGGGGGAACCGGCUCUGCAGACGGGCGGGGGCAAAGCGACGCCGUGGGUUUGCCGCGGGUGGUUCCGCGCUGCCAGGGUGGGUGUCUGGCGUGGGUGCUCCCGCGGUGCUGGGGUUGGCAGGGAACAGACCCACGGUCACGCCUGGAGAGGGGAGGCAGAGCGCCCGGCAGCCACCCCCACCCCAGUUCCUGCACAUCAUUCCCAGCAAGGCACGGAUGGGCGCUGGCAGGUGCCCCUGGAGCCCCCACGUUGGACUGAACAGCGUUUUGAUAUCAUUUCUGCAUCUCUCCAAGCACGAGAGGAGUGAAGCGGGGGCCUGGAGAAAUCGAGGCACGGCGAGGCCUGAGGACAGUGGGCAGCCAGCUGGGGACACUUCCAGGAGGGAGGAUGGAGAGGGAUGGUGUCCUACCCAUUACUGGUGGCUCGCCAUCAGGUAUCCGUGGGGGGUUGGAGGUUGCCAUGGGCAUGAAGUCCCGUGGAGGGAGGUGGGCUGUGCUGUGAACCCCACCUUGGGGCACAGAGCUCUGGGGACAGAGCCCAGGGGACUGGCCUGGAGGGUGCCAGCAAGGCUGGGGGCUGCUUUGUGUUCACGGCAGCUGGCAAAAAUCAUUGACAACAGUUUUUGCUGGCAACAGGACUGAGCUCACCCUCCCGAGGGACUGCUGGGCUCCAAGGGGUCUGGCCCAGCCCAACAAGGAUUUUUUUUUUUUUUUUUUGCCAACCAAUUCCCCAUGAAUGUAGCUCUGCCCUAACCUUGAGCUAGCACCUCAGGGAGGCAUCAUUCCUCACACUUAGGGCAGUUUAAUUAGCAGUGAGCCCUCUGUCCCUGCUUAAACCUUCUGGAACUGGCCAAGAAAUUGCAGGGAGGGCACAGGAUGACCAGCUGGGCAGAUUAACAUGGUUGAGUCUUGUUUUCCCAGAGCAGACCUAUAAGGAGAGCCAAGAUGCUGUGACUUGGAGCGUUGCGCUUUCCAGAAAGACUUCCCUGGCUGCUGUGGGCACAAAGGGAUGCUCAGAGGGGCAAAUCCUGCUCCCAGCCCUGAUGCUUUUGGCUUGGGAUCUGCAGCAUUCACAGCUGAUUCUGGGUGAGAUUCGUUCUCAGCCGCUUCCUCGGCUGCUGCCAUGACACAGUCCAGCGUUUGUAAACAGCCCCGAGGUUCCUCAGCAAGGUGUCAUGGGAGGAAAUAGCUGGAUGCUGGGCAGUGCAGCGUCCUGACCUGCCCCUCACCCUUCUCAGUGACUAACCCGCUCCCAAUUUCCGCUCAGGAAGGCGUGAGUCGUGUUGGGAGGAUGUGAGAGCAGCUGUCCUAUUGCUCCUGGCAGGUGCCGCGGGACCAUGAGGCUGCUUUGGGCUCUGUCUUCACCAUGUUACAUCCGUCCAAGGCCCUGUGCCGCAGGGAUCCCCCUUUGUCCUGCCAGCCUGUGCUUUAAAUAGGAGUGGAAUGCCCGUCCAGGCUCUGCUGGCCAUGCUCGUGCUGUGGCUGAAAGGGGCUGAGAAUGGCUUCAGCACAAGGUGUCGAGGCCAGCAAUGGGUGCAGGAAGGGUUGGCAUCCCAUGGCAGGGAUGCCAAGGGCUGGGUAAUGAUGGGGCUGCAGCCAGAUUUGUCUCAGAUGGGGAAUGGGACUGGCACAGGCUCAGCCUCUGUGAUGGCAGGAGAGACACAGAUAGGGCUUUUCCCUCCUAGUUCUGGUCUGUGGGGACUUCCCAGAAGUCUGACCUGAUGCUGUGCCACCCUUGGAUGCCGUGGCCAGCGCAGUGGCCACCACCAGCCCCAGGUGGGUCCCUUUGCUCCCCCACAGCCACAGGCUGAUUCAGCCCGGUCCCACACAGACACCACUUGUUUGCCUCCAGACGUGAUGUCUGACACGGAAGUGGGAUCACUUCCUUCUCCAUGCUGAUAACCACGCAUUUGGGGCUAUCUUAAUUAUGAGAGCCUUAACAAGGCCCCUCGACCCCACCAGCAGCCCGAAGGGUGCUCAGCAGCUUCUGGGCUGUGGGCAGGCGACUGCCGGUCGGGUUUGUCCUGAUCGGCUCCAUUCCCGCCCGCGCGGCGCUGCUCAGGCCGUGUGUGUGGGAGGGAAGUGCCGGGAUGCGACGUGGGGAUGUGGCACGGAGCUGGCGUGAUGGGGUGACAGCCCGUGGAGAAUCCCCCCGCCUCCUUCCUCAUUGCAAAGGGGACUCGCCCGUGGAGCAGAGCGUCCAGCCCGUCCGUGACCACCAGUCUCCCUUCAAGAGCAAACAUCCCUCCAGCUCCUGUCCUGGGAGGCCCCCUGGGGUAUUCCCAGACUCCGCAGACAUCAUUUGGUGGAGAAGGCUUGUAGAUUUGAAGCACCGUGCCCUGGUUUUGCUGGACAAGGUGGUGCGUGCCCUGAGUUUGGGGAAGCUGAGGCAGAAACAGCAGACAAGGUUUGGUUUGAGUUGUGCAAGAAGCCAAGGGUUAAAUAUGGCAAUAACCUCCCUCAGCUCCCUCCAGCCCCGGGCUCCUCCUGCUCCUGCCCCCAGCUGCUGGAGGAGCUGAUCGCCACUGGGAGUUAUCCCGGGGGAAGAAAGCACAGAGCCUGGGGGCUUCCCAGGCCUUCCAUAACCCUUCGUGCCCCCGGGGGCUGCAGCAGAGACCUGGGUCUGUCGCUGCCAGGGCAGGCCCGGAUUUCGGGGUCGCACUGCCACAUCACAGCCCCAGAGGAGACGUGUAGAGGACGUGGCUCUGUUGCAACAUGAACUGCGGCGUUUCCCUCCGAGGCACACAGCUCCUCCACAUCCCUGCCCGCUCUGCCGCGUCCGCCGGCAGCCACCGGGGGACGGGAACGGGACGGGGACGAACUCCUCCCGGAUCCAUCGCUUUUAGCAUCGUUCCCACUGCUGAAGGUACAUGUCUCAAGGUGGAGCCAGAAAUAGCACGGCUGGCGCUGCAUCGGGGCUGGCAGGGCUGCAGGCUUGGCAGGGGGACAGGCACCGACUGCAGCAGCGGAACUUUCCAGGAAGCUCCUGUGGGAGCGGCCGGUGCGGAGAUGGAGCCGUCUCCUUGCAGACCCAGGCCCGGGGCUGGAGAUCAGCCUCUCUCAGCCGUGGGGCUGGGGCUGACACAGGGGAGCAGCACAAAGCAGGAGGGGGCACAGCUAACACAGGUAUCUUCUGGAGGAGAGUGACUGGGAUCACAUCCCACCUGAGCUAGGACACAGAUCUGGGCUCUGCCACUGAUUUGCUGCAGAGCUCGGGAAAGUGGCUGCACCUUCUACCUGCCUCCAUGACCCAGGGGUGACAGGUUUUCCCCAAAAUCCAGCUUCUCUCAGGGCCCAGAGAGGAUUCUCAGCCUCCAAGGAGCUCAGGUUUUUGUGGCAGCUCCUAAAUCACAGCCAGGCUCUGCAACUUGUUGGGGGCUGCUCCCCAGUGCUGACCCUCCACUGAGCUCGGCAGCUGCCGGCACAGCCCGGGACGCACCGGGAAGCCCUGAACAAUACCGACGAGCUGAGCUCAUUCCUCCCAGCUGAUAAUUUGCUCAAAAAUAUUUCUGAGCUCAGGCCUCCUCAGGGAAAACACUCUCAAACGCCAGGCAAAAAGCUGCUGAGUCUGAAGAAACCACACACACACACCACUCGCUCGUCGAGACGUCCCCCCGAUGACAAGCCCUGGCGUCAGAGGGGCUGAGGCCAAAGUCUGCCGUUUGAUCUCCCCCUUCGCUGGGGGAAGCCGAAUUUCAGGCCGUCCAGGGGUUUUACCACUUCCCGGUAGCGGUUUCCUGCCAUGAUGUGAGCGCAGGAAUUUUUGGGAGGUGAGUCAGAGGCUGCAAUGAGAACCACCUGGCUGGGGCUGGGCUGGGAGGCUCGAUCCCGAUCCAGGGGUGAUCCCUGCUGCGAUGCUCGAUGCCUGCGGGCAGCAUUCCCAGAGUGGAAUUACUUACGGGGGUUACAACAUCCCAUCACAGACCCCAUUUCUGGCCUGGGAAAGAAGAAGAGGGAUUUGCUGCCUCAAUUCCCACGGCUCCUCCUUCCUUGCCGGGCUGGGAUCGGCACGCUCCGGCCACCCCACCCGGGCUCCAGGGAGAAACUUGGGUAAGAAAAAAGAGCAAAACCUCGUCCAGCUCUGCAGGAAGCCGCCUGGAAUGGCUGUCCCGCCCCAGCACCGUGUUGUCCCGAGCACAGAACUGCCCCAAAGCAGCGCCGAGGCUUGGCUUUCCCUGGGGAGCAAUGCAGGACUUGGCGGAGCUGCGAAACUGCCCUCCCUGGUCGCUGAAAUGAAACAUAUAAAAUGAGUUCCUGCUAAAGGAACCUCCCAGGUUUUGCCUGCUGGGCUAUUAAAGUUCCAUGACCCCGUGCCCACCCUCUCCCCAGCAUUACUCAAACCCCUCGGCGCAGAGAAUAAGUGAAUCCAGUCCAGAGAGUGAGACUGAGCCGGGAUAAGCCUUUGGAAAGGAGCUAAACCUGCUCAAAGCCGGCACUGUUCCCUGACCCGCCCUCCUAAUCCUGCCUGGCUGAUAAUGGAAUAAUAAAGGGCUGCACGGCCUCGCUCUCUGCUGCUCUGUGGGGGAGGUUCCUGCUGCCCCUGUACAUGCCAGGAGCUGGGAUAUUAAUGACACCCUAAGUAAACAGAAUUGCUCCUUUCUUCUCCUUUGCCUGGCUGUAAAACCGAGCGUGACCUUCAGCCCGCAGAGAAAUCAGAGUCGCUCCCCUUGCCAGGAGAAAGGCUGGUUGUGGCAGUGAUAACACGGUGAUCUCUGCCCGCCACCCUUCCCGGGCCUGAUCCCAACCCUGCAGCUCCAACAGCGAUCCCGGUGGGACUCGUAGGGCCACCCCUGCGAGGCUUUGGCCUCUCCCCGCAGGAAUGAAGCCGGUGAUUCACUGAGGGGGAAUCUCAGGAACACAGAAUGUGUGAUUUUGGGACACCCAGCCCCUCCGAGGUGUGCACACCUUGUCUGCUGUGUCAGGGGCCGCCCUGUAGCCGAACCUACAAACUUGUUGCACCUGAGCCUCAGCAGCUGGGGAAAGGGCAGGGAAGUGACAAUGCCGACGAGAUCCAUUCCCUGUGGCCGGGAUGGAUCUGAGCACACACGGGACAGCAGGAAUGGUGACAGGAGGAGGGUGCUGGGGGACCCGGAGAGCAAAGCAGAGGCUGAGGGCACUCAGAGGCCACAGCAUCAUCCCUGGGAUGCUGUGCUGAGGCUGCUGAGCGAGGAGCCAGCUGGAAAGGGGAUAAACAGCUCUUCCUUCUCCACAUGCCUGGUUCCAGGCAGGGAAGGGCUUUAUAAAGGAGGGCAGCAGCAGGUCUUUGGUGAGGAGAGGCUGAGGGAGGCUGAGUGCUCUGCAGAGGGAUAUGCCAUGGCUCCUGCAGUGCCAGGAUUCCCUCCCCACCCUUUGGGCAUGUCCCCCCUGCUGGGUGUCCCUGCAGCAAGAUGUCCCUGGCUCCCCUGGGAACUGCCAUUUCUCUGGUGGGUGCAGGAGGAACAUCAGGAAGCAGCCAGCUUCCUACGUCACAAAAACAGUCUGGCUCCCCCCAAAUUUUUUGAAGGACAAAGGCAGCACCCCGUGAGGAGUGACUGGCUAUACCGUGGGUGCUGUGACUGUUCUCAGCCUGGUGUCAGGGUGCCCAGGAGGGGGUCAGGGUGCCCAGGAGGGGUGUCUGGGCUCUCUGGCAGACGGAUGCUGCGGAUUCAUCCCAGGAUGAUGCCAGCCUGGAGGUCUGAUCAGAAUCCCAUGCCUGGCUGUGCUGCCUCCUCCUAGUGAACUCGAGCAGCUGAUGCUGUCAGCUCUUGCCUCGCCUUGGGGGAACGAGCCAGGAUGUGGGAGUCAAGCUGGAAUAGUCCCUAGAGCUGAACUGGAAUAGCCCCUGCUCUGACAAGGCAUGGAUUUAGGACCUGCAGGAGGCACAGCAGGAGGAUGUGGGGCUGGAACUGCAGGGAAAGGGUGUUGAAGACAGACAACCUUUAAUGAAGUGUCAGCGCAAGGGGACUGAUGGCAGCGCUGCAGCUCCCAGCUGAGCACGAAAUGUCUGCGACAGGGAGUCACUGCUGGAGGCACCGUGGCCAUCACGUGCCAGAGCAGCUGGAAAGCCACUGGGUCACAAAGGGAAACCUCCUUCAUGUCCUGAACGAAGCCCACCAGGCCUCUUCCUCCCUCACUCCCAGCUGGGAGGACACAGGCCAAGGGACUAUGGUAUUGCACAGCGACUUAGAGAAGUGCCAGGAAAAACCUCUCCCUCCAGGGUGAACCAAGUGAUGUGGGGCAAUGCUGGUGAUUAAAUUAAUGCAGUUUGCCUUCCCUGUGAUACAUAAUUUCUGUCAUAUAUCAUCAUUUCUGCUGCACUGUGGGGUGCUCUGAGCCAUCCUGACCACAGAGGAUGGAUCCCAACAGUGUUGUCAGCUCCCCUCAUUUUCCCAGCUGCCAAGGCCAAGAUGUAUAUCGUGUAUAUAUAUAAAAAAAAUUAUAACAAAAUGUACAUACGUUCAGUCAAGUUUCGCCUCCUCCUUAUAUAUAUAUAUAUAUAUAUAUACAUUCUAUGCAUAUAACAUAUAUAGCAUAUAAUAUACAUUUUAUGUAUAAUUACUAUGCACUUUCAUAAAAACUGCAUUUUAUAUGUGA
Corvus hawaiiensis (hawaiian crow) is the source of this 6678-nucleotide long non-coding RNA. RefSeq lists it as uncharacterized. The transcript is spliced from 2 exons. Lineage: Eukaryota; Metazoa; Chordata; Aves; Passeriformes; Corvidae. The record is from RefSeq and is a predicted model, not a curated record.